Notolabrus celidotus (New Zealand spotty) is the source of this 728-nucleotide long non-coding RNA. RefSeq lists it as uncharacterized. The transcript is spliced from 4 exons. The record is from RefSeq and is a predicted model, not a curated record. Lineage: Eukaryota; Metazoa; Chordata; Actinopteri; Labriformes; Labridae.
AAAAAUGUCACCCACAGUAGUUAGAGAACACUAUGGCAAAAAUUGUUCCAAUGGAGACGAGGCAGUCGAUGUUUGAGGAGCCGUCCAGUGGAUCGAAGCACACGAUGUAUUUUCCCUGUCAGCACACAGGAGGUGAAGGAGGACUUGAUCAUGUUGAUGACCAUGUCAUUGGACAGGACGUCCAGCUUCUUCACCUGGUCUCCUGUCACGUUGGUGCUUCCAGCGAUGCCAAAUCUUCAGAGACAGAAAGAAAGAAAGAGAGGACAAGAUGAGGCCCUCUUUAUCCACCUGCACUGUAAAGUUCUGCUUAACUUAAAGUACGACCCCUCUUUAAAAAGCAUUUUCUGAACCUCAAUGAUUAAUAAAACAAAGACUAGAGAAAGGAGCUGAAGUUUUUAUAUAAAAACAACAAAACUAUCCCCCCAUGUGUCAAAACCAAACCAUUGAAUAUGGAUAAAACCGUCAUUAUAGACUCAAACACAGAGGGAUUAUAGAUUUGUCAAUGCCUUUGUGUAACCAAAAAGUAGGCGCAAUAAGAUAAUAGGGAUGGAAACAUUUAACAAAACACACACACACAAAAGAAGGAACUCAGACGGUGCUGUAGUGGGUCUCAGAAAUAGUUAAGAAUAGGAAGCACAGAAUGAACUGUGGUAUUGGUAUCGUGACAAAUAGUGAGCUAUGUUUUAACAAACAAAAUACAUUUUUAAAGUCAUGAAAUUUGUGAUGUU